UUACUGCAGGGAACCAAGACACCUUGUCAGUUCAGUCCAUACCAUCUCAGGGGAAACUGGUGGGUGUGUCUACCUCUGAAAGGUGGGCUUCUCUUGGCCCUGCCUGUUGGCCUUGAUGCAGAUACACUCAGCAUAUUGCAGCUGCAAGGUGAGCGUAACCCAGAGCUGAGAGUGCAGCAGUUCCUGCCAGAGAUGAAAAGGUACGCUUGGGCUGCUGCUUUCCUUGACUGCUUCGCUUGCCAUCACAUUGCCAGUGCAUCAUGUUUCACU
Molecule: long non-coding RNA, 270 nt
Organism: Lacerta agilis (Sand lizard)
Lineage: Eukaryota; Metazoa; Chordata; Lepidosauria; Squamata; Lacertidae
Exons: 3
Source: RefSeq, a predicted model, not a curated record